UGCAGAUGGCAUCCACCAAACGGUGGAUGUAAUGCAGCCAAGACAGAGCGUCCAAAGCCGCA
This 62-nucleotide non-coding RNA is filed under the name unclassified sequences. The record is from RNAcentral.